AGAGUUUGAUCCUGGCUCAGGAUGAACGCUAGCUACAGGCUUAACACAUGCAAGUCGAGGGGCAGCAUGGUCUUAGCUUGCUAAGGCCGAUGGCGACCGGCGCACGGGUGAGUAACGCGUAUCCAACCUGCCUUACACUCUUGGACAGCCUUCUGAAAGGGAGAUUAAUACAAGAUGUUAUCAUGAGUAAGCAUUUUCGCAUGAUUAAAGGUUUACCGGUGUAAGAUGGGGAUGCGUUCCAUUAGAUAGUAGGCGGGGUAACGGCCCACCUAGUCUUCGAUGGAUAGGGGUUCUGAGAGGAAGGUCCCCCACAUUGGAACUGAGACACGGUCCAAACUCCUACGGGAGGCAGCAGUGAGGAAUAUUGGUCAAUGGACGAGAGUCUGAACCAGCCAAGUAGCGUGAAGGAUGAAGGUUCUAUGGAUUGUAAACUUCUUUUAUACGGGAAUAAACGAAUCCACGCGUGGAUUUUUGCAUGUACCGUAUGAAUAAGGAUCGGCUAACUCCGUGCCAGUAGCCGCGGUAAUACGGAGGAUCCGAGCGUUAUCCGGAUUUAUUGGGUUUAAAGGGAGCGUAGAUGGGUUGUUAAGUCAGUUGUGAAAGUUUGCGGCUCAACCGUAAAAUUGCAAUUGAUACUGGCAGUCUUGAGUACAGUUGAGGUAGGCGGAAUUCGUGGUGUAGCGGUGAAAUGCUUAGAUAUCACGAAGAACUCCGAUUGCGAAGGCAGCUUACUAACCUGUAACUGACAUUGAUGCUCGAAAGUGUGGGUAUCAAACAGGAUUAGAUACCCUGGUAGUCCACACGGUAAACGAUGAAUACUCGCUGUAGGCGAUAUACAGUCUGCGGCCAAGCGAAAGCAUUAAGUAUUCCACCUGGGGAGUACGCCGGCAACGGUGAAACUCAAAGGAAUUGACGGGGGCCCGCACAAGCGGAGGAACAUGUGGUUUAAUUCGAUGAUACGCGAGGAACCUUACCCGGGCUUAAAUUGCAACCGAAUAUGGCGGAAACGCUAUAGCUAGCAAUAGCGGUUGUGAAGGUGCUGCAUGGUUGUCGUCAGCUCGUGCCGUGAGGUGUCGGCUUAAGUGCCAUAACGAGCGCAACCCUUGCCGAUAGUUACUAACAGGUUAUGCUGAGGACUCUGUCGGGACUGCCAUCGUAAGAUGUGAGGAAGGUGGGGAUGACGUCAAAUCAGCACGGCCCUUACGUCCGGGGCUACACACGUGUUACAAUGGGGGGUACAGAGGGCUGCUACCACGCAAGUGGAUGCCAAUCCCAAAAACCUCUCUCAGUUCGGAUUGAAGUCUGCAACCCGACUUCAUGAAGCUGGAUUCGCUAGUAAUCGCGCAUCAGCCACGGCGCGGUGAAUACGUUCCCGGGCCUUGUACACACCGCCCGUCAAGCCAUGGGAGCCGGGGGUACCUGAAGUGCGUAACCGCAAGGAGCGCCCUAGGGUAAAACUGGUGACUGGGGCUAAGUCGUAACAAGGUAGCCG
This 1492-nucleotide ribosomal RNA is filed under the name uncultured bacterium. RNAcentral's name for it is "16S ribosomal RNA". It matches the Rfam family "Bacterial small subunit ribosomal RNA". The record is from RNAcentral.